Molecule: ribosomal RNA, 447 nt
Filed under: uncultured bacterium
Lineage: Bacteria
Description: bacterial SSU rRNA
Rfam family: Bacterial small subunit ribosomal RNA
Source: RNAcentral
UCGGGAAUUUUGGGCAAUGGGCGAAAGCCUGACCCAGCAACGCCGCGUGAAGGAUGAAGUAUUUCGGUAUGUAAACUUCGAAAGAAUAGGAAGAAUAAAUGACGGUACUAUUUAUAAGGUCCGGCUAACUACGUGCCAGCAGCCGCGGUAAUACGUAGGGACCAAGCGUUGUUCGGAUUUACUGGGCGUAAAGGGCGCGUAGGCGGCAAUUCAAGUCAUCUGUGAAAUCUCCGGGCUUAACUCGGAACGGUCAGAUGAUACUGCUUUGCUAGAGUGCAGAAGGGGCAAUCGGAAUUCUUGGUGUAGCGGUGAAAUGCGUAGAUAUCAAGAGGAACACCUGAGGUGAAGACGGGUUGCUGGGCUGAUACUGACGCUGAGGCGCGAAAGCUAGGGUAGCAAACGGGAUUAGAUACCCCGGUAGUCCCUGAGCGGGCUGGCAAGGCGCAU